CACGUAGGAGGCGAGCGUUGUCCGGAAUCAUUGGGCGUAAAGAGCGCGCAGGCGGCUUGGCAAGUCGGGUGUGAAAUCCCGGGGCUCAACCCCGUGACUGCAUCCGAUACUGUCAGGCUAGAGGUAGGUAGGGGAGAUCGGAAUUCCUGGUGUAGCGGUGAAAUGCGCAGAUAUCGGGAAGAAUACCCGUGGCGAAGGCGGCCGACUGGGCCGGAUCCGACGCUGAUGCGCGAAAGCGUGGGGAGCAAACAGG
RNAcentral lists this ribosomal RNA (253 nucleotides) under uncultured bacterium. RNAcentral describes it as "partial 16S ribosomal RNA". It matches the Rfam family "Bacterial small subunit ribosomal RNA", at positions 524 to 776 of the family's 1533-position model. The record is from RNAcentral.